RNAcentral lists this transfer RNA (69 nucleotides) under Chalcophora japonica. Its description in RNAcentral is "tRNA-Gln". It matches the Rfam family "tRNA". From Rfam's summary of the family: Transfer RNA (tRNA) molecules are approximately 80 nucleotides in length. The record is from RNAcentral. Lineage: Eukaryota; Metazoa; Arthropoda; Insecta; Coleoptera; Buprestidae.
UACGCUUUAGUAUAGGAUGUGCAAGAGAUUUUGAUUCUCUAGGGAAUGGUUUGAUUCCAUUAGGCGUAA